GCUCAAAUUUGAAAUCUGGCCCUCGGGUCCGAGUUGUAAUUUGCAGAGGAUGCUUUUGGCGCGGUGCCUUCCGAGUUCCCUGGAAUGGGACGCCUUAGAGGGUGAGAGCCCCGUACGGUUGGACACCAAGCCUCUGUAAAGCUCCUUCGACGAGUCGAGUAGUUUGGGAAUGCUGCUCUAAAUGGGAGGUAAAUUUCUUCUAAAGCUAAAUAUUGGCCAGAGACCGAUAGCGCACAAGUAGAGUGAUCGAAAGAUGAAAAGCACUUUGAAAAGAGGGUUAAAUAGCACGUGAAAUUGUUGAAAGGGAAGCGUUUGCGACCAGACCUCUUCCCGGCGGAUCAUCCGGUGUUCUCACCGGUGCACUUCGCCGGGUCGAGGCCAGCAUCGGUCUCUGUAGGGGGAUAAAAGCUCAGGGAACGUAGCUCCUUCGGGAGUGUUAUAGCCCUCUGCACAAUGCCCUUACGGGGACCGAGGACCGCGCCUUCGGGCAAGGAUGCUGGCGUAAUGGUCGCCAACGACCCGUCUUGAAACACGGACCAAGGAGUCGAACAUUUGUGCGAGUGUUUGGGUGUUAAACCCUCACGCGCAAUGAAAGUGAACGGAGGUGAGAGCCCCUCGGGGUGCAUCAUCGACCGAUCCUGAUGUCUUCGGAUGGAUUUGAGUAGGAGCACAACUGUUCGGACCCGAAAGAUGGUGAACUAUGCGUGGAUAGGGUGAAGCCAGAGGAAACUCUGGUGGAGGCUCGCAGCGGUUCUGACGUGCAAAUCGAUCGUCAAAUCUGCGCAUGGGGGCGAAAGACUUAUCGAACCAUCUAGUAGCUGGUUACCGCCGAAGUUUCCCUCAGGAUAGCAGUGUUGUUCUUCAGUUUUAUGAGGUAAAGCGAAUGAUUAGGGACUCGGGGGCGCUUUUUAGCCUUCAUCCAUUCUCAAACUUUAAAUAUGUAAGAAGC
Molecule: ribosomal RNA, 949 nt
Filed under: Nemania bipapillata
Lineage: Eukaryota; Fungi; Ascomycota; Sordariomycetes; Xylariales; Xylariaceae
Description: eukaryotic LSU rRNA
Rfam family: Eukaryotic large subunit ribosomal RNA
Source: RNAcentral